RNAcentral lists this long non-coding RNA (207 nucleotides) under Lathyrus oleraceus (garden pea). Its description in RNAcentral is "Pisum sativum (pea) long non-coding RNA (PSAT_LNC012749)". The record is from RNAcentral. Lineage: Eukaryota; Viridiplantae; Streptophyta; Magnoliopsida; Fabales; Fabaceae.
CUAAAAUCUUUUUGAUAAUGACAAAAGGGGAGAAAAUGCAUGGAGUAUUUAAGAAGAGACUGAAGCAUUAGAACUUGAACAAAACAGUUUCUACCCAAACAACUUAUGAGUAAUAAGCUUUAAGUUAUUUAUAUUAUUCGGUAAUUUAUCUUAUUGGGCAUAAAUGAUUAAUUUAAUUAACAAAUACAGAAGUUAAGGAAAGCUUAC